RNAcentral lists this ribosomal RNA (468 nucleotides) under uncultured bacterium. RNAcentral's name for it is "partial 16S ribosomal RNA". It matches the Rfam family "Bacterial small subunit ribosomal RNA", at positions 28 to 507 of the family's 1533-position model. The record is from RNAcentral.
GACGAACGCUGGCGGCGUGCUUAACACAUGCAAGUCGAACGGAAAGGCCCUGCUUUUGUGGGAUGCUCGAGUGGCGAACGGGUGAGUAACACGUGAGUAACCUGCCCUUGACUUUGGGAUAACUUCAGGAAACUGGGGCUAAUACCGGAUAGGAGCUCCUGCUGCAUGGUGGGGGUUGGAAAGUUUCGGCGGUUGGGGAUGGACUCGCGGCUUAUCAGCUUGUUGGUGGGGUAGUGGCUUACCAAGGCUUUGACGGGUAGCCGGCCUGAGAGGGUGACCGGCCACAUUGGGACUGAGAUACGGCCCAGAGUCCUACGGGAGGCAGCAGUGGGGAAUAUUGCACAAUGGGCGGAAGCCUGAUGCAGCAACGCCGCGUGCGGGAUGACGGCUUUCGGGUUGUAAACCGCUUUCGCCUGUGACGAAGCGUGAGUGACGGUAAUGGGUAAAGAAGCACCGGCUAACUACGUG